GUGCUCACUUCACAGCACAUAUACUAAAACUGGAGCAAGACUGAGAAGAUUAGCAUGGUCCCUGGGCAAAGAGGACGUGCAUGUUCAUGAAUUGUUCCAUACUUGU
Rhinolophus ferrumequinum (greater horseshoe bat) is the source of this 106-nucleotide small nuclear RNA. The record is from Ensembl. NCBI's taxonomy places the organism in Eukaryota, Metazoa, Chordata, Mammalia, Chiroptera, Rhinolophidae.